This 502-nucleotide ribosomal RNA is filed under the name uncultured bacterium. RNAcentral's name for it is "partial 16S ribosomal RNA". It matches the Rfam family "Bacterial small subunit ribosomal RNA", at positions 30 to 523 of the family's 1533-position model. The record is from RNAcentral.
AUUGAACGCUGGCGGCAUGCCUUACACAUGCAAGUCGAACGGCAGCAUAGGAGCUUGCUCCUGAUGGCGAGUGGCGAACGGGUGAGUAAUAUAUCGGAACGUGCCCUAGAGUGGGGGAUAACUAGUCGAAAGACUAGCUAAUACCGCAUACGAUCUACGGAUGAAAGUGGGGGAUCGCAAGACCUCAUGCUCCUGGAGCGGCCGAUAUCUGAUUAGCUAGUUGGUGGGGUAAAAGCCUACCAAGGCAACGGUCAGUAGCUAGUCUGAGAGGACGACCAGCCACACUGGGACUGAGACACGGCCCAGACUCCUACGGGAGGCAGCAGUGGGGAAUUUUGGACAAUGGGGGCAACCCUGAUCCAGCAAUGCCGCGUGAGUGAAGAAGGCCUUCGGGUUGUAAAGCUCUUUUGUCAGGGAAGAAACGGUAGUAGCGAAUAACUAUUACUAAUGACGGUACCUGAAGAAUAAGCACCGGCUAACUACGUGCCAGCCGCCGCCGUAA